AAACACACACUCUGCAUUAUAUACACACUCUGCAUUAUAUACACAGAGGGUGUGUAUAUAAUGCAGAGUGUGUGUUU
This is a non-coding RNA of Pelobates cultripes (western spadefoot toad), 77 nucleotides long. The record is from the annotation of a GenBank genome assembly. Lineage: Eukaryota; Metazoa; Chordata; Amphibia; Anura; Pelobatidae.